GAUGAACGCUGGCGGCGUGCUUAACACAUGCAAGUCGAACGGAAAGGCCCAAGCUUGUUUGGGUACUCGAGUGGCGAACGGGUGCGUAACACGUGGGCAAUCUGCCCUGCACUUCCGGAUAAGCCUGCGAAACUGGGCCUACUACCGGAUCGGACCCCAUCUUGGAUGGUGUGGUGGAAAGCUUUUCGGGGUGGGCUGAGCUCGCGGCCUAUCAGCUUGUUGGUGGGGUAAUGGCCUACCAAGGCGUCGACGGGGAGCCGGCCUGAGAGGGUGUACGGCCACAUUAGGACUGUGAGACAGGCCGGAGUCGGACAGGAGGGAGCAGGGGGGAAAAUUUGACAAAGCGCGCAAGCGUGAGGGAGCGAGGCCGCGGGGUGGAUGACGGCCUUUGUGGGGUAAGCACCUUUCGCGGGGGACGAAGCGCUGUUGUGACGGUACCUGAAGAAGAAGCACCGGCUAACUACGUG
RNAcentral lists this ribosomal RNA (467 nucleotides) under uncultured bacterium. RNAcentral describes it as "partial 16S ribosomal RNA". It matches the Rfam family "Bacterial small subunit ribosomal RNA", at positions 28 to 507 of the family's 1533-position model. The record is from RNAcentral.